AGUGAACGCUGGCGGUAGGCCUAACACAUGCAAGUCGAACGGCAGCACAGUAAGAGCUUGCUCUUACGGGUGGCGAGUGGCGGACGGGUGAGGAAUACAUCGGAAUCUACUUUUUCGUGGGGGAUAACGUAGGGAAACUUACGCUAAUACCGCAUACGAUCUACGGGUGAAAGCAGGGGAUAUUCGCACCUUGCGCGAUUGAAUGAGCCGAUGUCGGAUUAGCUAUUUGGCGGGGUAAAGGCCCACCAAGGCGACGAUCCGUAGCUGGUCUGAGAGGAGGAUCGGCCACACUGGAACUGAGACACGGUCCAGACUCCUACGGGAGGCAGCAGUGGGGAAUAUUGGACAAUGGGCGCAAGCCUGAUCCAGCCAUACCGCGUGGGUGAAGAAGGCCUUCGGGUUGUAAAGCCCUUUUGUUGGGAAAGAAAAGCAGCAGGUUAAAACCCCGCUGUUCUGACGGUACCCAAAGAAUAAGCACCGGCUAACUUCGUG
RNAcentral lists this ribosomal RNA (492 nucleotides) under uncultured bacterium. Its description in RNAcentral is "partial 16S ribosomal RNA". It matches the Rfam family "Bacterial small subunit ribosomal RNA", at positions 29 to 507 of the family's 1533-position model. The record is from RNAcentral.